CUGGGGCAUCACAGAUGUGAAAACAUUGGAAUGAUACAGAGAUUAUCAUGGCCCCUGCACCAGAUAACUUGAACCUUCAUGAAGCUUUCCAUAUUUGA
Camelus dromedarius (Arabian camel) is the source of this 98-nucleotide small nuclear RNA. The record is from Ensembl. Lineage: Eukaryota; Metazoa; Chordata; Mammalia; Artiodactyla; Camelidae.